Molecule: ribosomal RNA, 468 nt
Filed under: uncultured bacterium
Lineage: Bacteria
Description: partial 16S ribosomal RNA
Rfam family: Bacterial small subunit ribosomal RNA
Source: RNAcentral
GACGAACGCUGGCGGCGUGCUUAACACAUGCAAGUCGAACGGAAAGGCCCUGCUUUUGUGGGGUGCUCGAGUGGCGAACGGGUGAGUAACACGUGAGUAACCUGCCCUUGACUUUGGGAUAACUUCAGGAAACUGGGGCUAAUACCGGAUAGGAGCUCCUGCUGCAUGGUGGGGGUUGGAAAGUUUCGGCGGUUGGGGAUGGACUCGCGGCUUAUCAGCUUGUUGGUGGGGUUGUGGCUUACCAAGGCUUUGACGGGUAGCCGGCCUGAGAGGGUGACCGGCCACAUGGGGACUGAGAUACGGCCCAGACUCCUACGGGAGGCAGCAGUGGGGAAUAUUGCACAAUGGGCGGAAGCCUGAUGCAGCAACGCCGCGUGCGGGAUGACGGCCUUCGGGUUGUAAACCGCUUUCGCCUGUGACGAAGCGUGAGUGACGGUAAUGGGUAAAGAAGCACCGGCUAACUACGUG